RNAcentral lists this ribosomal RNA (274 nucleotides) under uncultured prokaryote. Its description in RNAcentral is "partial 16S ribosomal RNA". It matches the Rfam family "Archaeal small subunit ribosomal RNA", at positions 474 to 747 of the family's 1478-position model. The record is from RNAcentral.
CACCGGCGGCUCGAGUGGUAACCGCUGUUAUUGGGUCUAAAGGGUCUGUAGCCUGCCGGCUAAGUCUCUUGGGAAAUCUGGCAUCUCAAGUGUCAGGCUGCCAGGGGAUACUGGUCGGCUUGGGACCGGGAGAGGUGAGAGGUACCUCAGGGGUAGGGGUGAAAUCUUGUAAUCCUUGAGGGACCACCAGUGGCGAAGGCGUCUCACCAGAACGGAUCCGACGGCAAGGGACGAAAGCUAGGGGCACGAACCGGAUUAGAAACCCUAGUAGUCC